UGCAAGUCGAGCGAACAGACGAGGAGCUUGCUCCUCUGACGUUAGCGGCGGACGGGUGAGUAACACGUGGAUAACCUACCUAUAAGACUGGGAUAACUUCGGGAAACCGGAGCUAAUACCGGAUAAUAUAUUGAACCGCAUGGUUCAAUAGUGAAAGACGGUUUUGCUGUCACUUAUAGAUGGAUCCGCGCCGCAUUAGCUAGUUGGUAAGGUAACGGCUUACCAAGGCAACGAUGCGUAGCCGACCUGAGAGGGUGAUCGGCCACACUGGAACUGAGACACGGUCCAGACUCCUACGGGAGGCAGCAGUAGGGAAUCUUCCGCAAUGGGCGAAAGCCUGACGGAGCAACGCCGCGUGAGUGAUGAAGGUCUUCGGAUCGUAAAACUCUGUUAUUAGGGAAGAACAAAUGUGUAAGUAACUAUGCACGUCUUGACGGUACCUAAUCAGAAAGCCACGGCUAACUACGUGCCAGCAGCCGCGGUAAUACGUAGGUGGCAAGCGUUAUCCGGAAUUAUUGGGCGUAAAGCGCGCGUAGGCGGUUUUUUAAGUCUGAUGUGAAAGCCCACGGCUCAACCGUGGAGGGUCAUUGGAAACUGGAAAACUUGAGUGCAGAAGAGGAAAGUGGAAUUCCAUGUGUAGCGGUGAAAUGCGCAGAGAUAUGGAGGAACACCAGUGGCGAAGGCGACUUUCUGGUCUGUAACUGACGCUGAUGUGCGAAAGCGUGGGGAUCAAACAGGAUUAGAUACCCUGGUAGUCCACGCCGUAAACGAUGAGUGCUAAGUGUUAGGGGGUUUCCGCCCCUUAGUGCUGCAGCUAACGCAUUAAGCACUCCGCCUGGGGAGUACGACCGCAAGGUUGAAACUCAAAGGAAUUGACGGGGACCCGCACAAGCGGUGGAGCAUGUGGUUUAAUUCGAAGCAACGCGAAGAACCUUACCAAAUCUUGACAUCCUCUGACCCCUCUAGAGAUAGAGUUUUCCCCUUCGGGGGACAGAGUGACAGGUGGUGCAUGGUUGUCGUCAGCUCGUGUCGUGAGAUGUUGGGUUAAGUCCCGCAACGAGCGCAACCCUUAAGCUUAGUUGCCAUCAUUAAGUUGGGCACUCUAAGUUGACUGCCGGUGACAAACCGGAGGAAGGUGGGGAUGACGUCAAAUCAUCAUGCCCCUUAUGAUUUGGGCUACACACGUGCUACAAUGGACAAUACAAAGGGCAGCGAAACCGCGAGGUCAAGCAAAUCCCAUAAAGUUGUUCUCAGUUCGGAUUGUAGUCUGCAACUCGACUAUA
This 1283-nucleotide ribosomal RNA is filed under the name Staphylococcus epidermidis. Its description in RNAcentral is "bacterial SSU rRNA". It matches the Rfam family "Bacterial small subunit ribosomal RNA", at positions 56 to 1320 of the family's 1533-position model. Lineage: Bacteria; Bacillati; Bacillota; Bacilli; Caryophanales; Staphylococcaceae. The record is from RNAcentral.